Molecule: ribosomal RNA, 841 nt
Filed under: Escherichia coli
Lineage: Bacteria; Pseudomonadati; Pseudomonadota; Gammaproteobacteria; Enterobacterales; Enterobacteriaceae
Description: partial 23S ribosomal RNA
Rfam family: Bacterial large subunit ribosomal RNA
Source: RNAcentral
CGGGACACGUGGUAUCCUGUCUGAAUAUGGGGGGACCAUCCUCCAAGGCUAAAUACUCCUGACUGACCGAUAGUGAACCAGUACCGUGAGGGAAAGGCGAAAAGAACCCCGGCGAGGGGAGUGAAAAAGAACCUGAAACCGUGUACGUACAAGCAGUGGGAGCACGCUUAGGCGUGUGACUGCGUACCUUUUGUAUAAUGGGUCAGCGACUUAUAUUCUGUAGCAAGGUUAACCGAAUAGGGGAGCCGAAGGGAAACCGAGUCUUAACUGGGCGUUAAGUUGCAGGGUAUAGACCCGAAACCCGGUGAUCUAGCCAUGGGCAGGUUGAAGGUUGGGUAACACUAACUGGAGGACCGAACCGACUAAUGUUGAAAAAUUAGCGGAUGACUUGUGGCUGGGGGUGAAAGGCCAAUCAAACCGGGAGAUAGCUGGUUCUCCCCGAAAGCUAUUUAGGUAGCGCCUCGUGAAUUCAUCUCCGGGGGUAGAGCACUGUUUCGGCAAGGGGGUCAUCCCGACUUACCAACCCGAUGCAAACUGCGAAUACCGGAGAAUGUUAUCACGGGAGACACACGGCGGGUGCUAACGUCCGUCGUGAAGAGGGAAACAACCCAGACCGCCAGCUAAGGUCCCAAAGUCAUGGUUAAGUGGGAAACGAUGUGGGAAGGCCCAGACAGCCAGGAUGUUGGCUUAGAAGCAGCCAUCAUUUAAAGAAAGCGUAAUAGCUCACUGGUCGAGUCGGCCUGCGCGGAAGAUGUAACGGGGCUAAACCAUGCACCGAAGCUGCGGCAGCGACGCUUAUGCGUUGUUGGGUAGGGGAGCGUUCUGUAAGCCUGUGAAGGUG